UCAACCCCAAAUUUUGGGGGUCCUGGAUUCAGAUUUUGGGGUCCCAAACCCAAAUUUUAGAGUCCUAAACCGAAAUUUUGGGACCCCGACCCCAAAUGUUAAGACCCCACCCCAUUUUCAUCUCCCCUGACCCCAAAUUUUUUUAUUCUGACCCCAAAUUUUGGGACCCCAGCCCCAAAUUUUGUGAUUCCGACCCCAAAUUUCGGGACCCCAGCCCCAUUUUUUGUACCCCGACCCCAAAUUUUGCGAUUCCGACCCCAAAUUUUUUGGAUUCCCCCCCCCCAAUAAA
This 289-nucleotide long non-coding RNA is filed under the name Junco hyemalis (dark-eyed junco). RNAcentral's name for it is "lncRNA (ENSJHYG00000016034.1)". Lineage: Eukaryota; Metazoa; Chordata; Aves; Passeriformes; Passerellidae. The record is from RNAcentral.